CUAGUUAGUAAAGCCAUUUUUGUGUUGGAUUGGAAUCAUAGUAAUCAGCGAAACCCCAUGUCACCUAGAAAAAUCACCAUCAAAACAUUCAAAUGCAAUAUUUUUCUGGAUGUGGAAAAUUCAUACAAACAUGAUGCUCUCUCUGUUUCGCUUGCACGCAUAAGUACUGAAUUUUCGGUGCAAUGCAUUACCCCCUUGUGUUUUGGAGAUUGCUGUCAGAAACAGUCAUGGACUGAUUUGCUUGCUAGUGCACACAGAGAGAAUUAGUCCAUGAAAAUCCGAGAAGAAUGAUAUAUUCUGUCUAGAAGUUCGAAGAACUUCAUCGAAGAUUAUCUAUGUUGUGGAGAAGAAGAAAGUAUAUCUCAAGAAAAGAUGACACUGAGAAGAAUAUGUGAAUAGAUUGAUCCCAUAAAAUGUUGCUGACGCAAAGCAAUUUUCAUUCGUGUGUCCCAAGUAGAAUGACUUUAGCUGAGAAAUGUGACGAUGAAGUGAAGAUGUAGCAUUUGUUUUGUUGUUCUUAUUUGUCUUAUUUAAGUCAUAGUACCACCUACUAUUAAGAGGGGUAUAGGUCAUCGAAGCUUAGGUACAUUGUGUUGCUUAGUCGAAACCUAUGAAGGACUGAGAGAAAUCUCUUUGUGCUCUGAAUGGUUACUUGACAGCAAGAGACAAAGUUCUUUUGAGAUAUCCUUAGAACCGAGGAUUUGGCUUUACUUGCUCCGCAAGGAAACACUACAUCGGGAAGGUCCUAAGAUGACACGUGUCUCGCAGACCAUUCGGCCAAACUGUAUGCGAUGAUAAAUCACAAACGCUAAUAAAAUAAAGUCGCGUGCAAGAAAAUGAAAUGUGUGACAUACCAUCCAUUAGGCGUGAUAAUGGUAUGCACACCAUGUGUGAUAGUGGGCACACACUUAGAGGCAAAAUUAUGUGUGAUAUAUGUAGUCGUAACGCGCACGGUUGCAAUGUUCUAAGUGACUGUGUUUGUUGGAAAACACUUUAUAGAAACAAAUUGUUUGCGAUAGUUAGGACCAUCUCACAUGUUGCGUAGUGUGAGUACUCAUGUAUUAUGAUUUAAAAGUUACUAGUACCGAGAAACUGGAGAUGGACUUGUUAGUUUUGUUGAUUCUGAUUUUGCUGGUGAUUUGGAUAAGAGAAGAUCACUCACAUGUUAUGUUUUCAUCAUUGGUGGUUGUGAUGUGAGUUGGAGAGCAACUUUGCAGUCUAUUGUGGCUUGUUCCACUACUAAUGCCGAAUAUAUGGCUAUUUCUGAGGCAUGCAAAGAAGCUAUCUGGUUGAAAGGUUUAUACACUGAGCUUUGCGGAGAUUCAUCUUGCCCUACCAUAUUUUCUGACAGUUAAAGUGCUAUAUAUCUUACAAAGAAUCCAAUGUAUCAUGAGAGAACGAAGCACAUUGAUGUCAGAUUUCACUAUGUUCGAGAUGUUGUUGCUAAAGGUGAUUUGAAGGUAUUAAAGAUAAGUAUUCAUAAGAAUCCAGCUGAUAUGAUGAAAAAGUCAGUUCCUACCAAUAAGUUUGAGCUUUGCUCAAGCUUAAUUGGUAUUUCGCACUAGUCCUUUGGACUUUGACGCACAAGGUGUUUAUGCUGAUUUGGAUGGAGUUAUUCACUUUCUUCGACUACUGGAAGGAAUCUGGCUCAAGGUGGAGAUUGUUAAUUUGUGAUCUAAAUUCUACUGUAUUGGACUAGACGUAGUACAAAUGGUGUGGGCUUUUGCGUUGGUACCGACAUGUACGAGUACAACUCGUUUACUUGUCCUCCAAGGACUCUCAUGUAUUGCCCCUCAUAUAUACUUCAUGUAGUCGCACCUAAAGACGACCUGUCGUCUCGUGCUUGUAAUACUCCAUCCUUAUAGUGAUUGCGCCUUCGUGCGUCCGUGGUUUUCUUCCGCAAGGGUUUGCACGUAAAAAUUUGUUUGAUCUGUGGUCCACGGAGCAGUGGGACAUGGCCUCAACUGAUUUACCCUGCCUAAGUCAUUCACUCGUCACUUGGUAUGCCACUUGGUAUGCCAGUUCAAACUGGAGAAGGAUUUUGCAAUUAUCAAAACACGCUACCAAUAUGCCGCUUUUGCGGAUAAGGAAAAAACAUCACUUGACGGCGAAAUUCUAAGGCAGUGCAAAUUUCAUGCAAACAUGGUGCUCUAUCUGUGUUGGUUGCCUGGAUAGCUAUAGCAUGACUACACACAUUGUUGGUUGCUCAUGCGUAUUGGCAUGGGAAGGUGAAAGAAUUGGAUAGAUUGGUCUAUAAAGUGAGCCAUCUUUUAGCCAGUUUAGCGUAGUUAGCAGCAGCAGGAAACUAUCACUGUGUUAAUAUAGGUUCAGAAGAGAUUGAUGGGAACAAAAUGUAUUGUGAUGUUGGAGGAAACUGAUAUCGUAGUGUGUACGUUCAGGACUGGUUUCAGAAUUUGUGCUGACUUGACGACUGUGGGAUGGAGAGUAAGAAGCCAAAGUGAGGAAUGCAAGAAAAUUAUCAGAAUAAUUGCUUACCUGUGAAUAUGCAUCUGAUUGCGUUUAUAUAAAAUAAUAUUUGUCUUAUGUAUUGUAACAUCUUGAUUUCAGCAAGAUAUUAGGAAAACUGUAUGGCUUCAUGUUUGAAACCAUCAAAACAUUCCCUGCUUCCUUCAAAUGAGUUUUUGUGUGCAAAAUAUAUAUGAUACUAUAUAUCAGUUACCACUGUUUAUUUUGAGAAAAAGAUUGAAGGGGGUCCCUAUAGGGUAAUAAUUAGAAGCCAAAAUCCGAGUCCACUAAACUUGAAUUUACAUGGUGAAAUUGCACAAUCACUGAUUAGGAUCAACAACAGCAACAAACAAUUCUAACAGUCCAUUAACAGCAAGACCCAACUACAGAUGAUAACAAUGAUCCAGGUGCCAUGAGCCCUCCCUGAACGCAUGCUAUUCACACGCUGGCACUCCACUAAUCCUCCUUACAGAUUUUAAGCAUAUGAUAAACUCCCUUGCUUUCGCCCAUGCUACUUUUCUCCGAUCAUGCGCUUUGCCAACAAGAAUCACACAACUCUCGUCGGUCGGAGCCGUGCCUUCAAAGCCAAUAAUGGCAAGCUUAGCCAGGACCAUCAUCAUCAUAAUCAUCAUGAUCCUAACCGCUAAAGCUCACGCGAAACAUUUCCCAGCCGAUCGAAUCCAUGGUAGUAUCACAUCACCACGCCGGUCGUGGGCGAGCGGCCACCAAAUCUUCCACUUAGCAUCAAUCAGUCUGCUCACUGCUGUGUGAGAUCACCUAACCUAGUAAAUGUAGCAUUAAUAGGCUGGUAAAUUGCAAUUGAUAUACUAUAGCCCAUAAGCAAAAUGUAAAAUUCUUAUAACUUACUAGUCUUUUGGCAAACUUAUGGAUGCGAAUUUGGAACUUUUAGGGUAUCCUCCGACCCUUCUUCUGUUGUAUCGUUUCAAUUUUAUCCGAGGGGAUCCUCCGACCCUUCUUAGUUCAACUAAAUAAACUAAAUUUCGCCUGCCUAGGCAAACUCUUACUGUGAUUUAGCAGUUCGUCAGCUUUGAUCCAUGUGCUCCUUUCACAUUCUUCUUCAGUUGAGCUGGCCCAUCCACAGUAUGCAAGCAUGUGUGUCUGAAACUUCCAUUGUGCAGCUCAAAUUUUGGUUAACUACUACAGUCGCAGCAUGCCUUUUGCAC
This 3650-nucleotide long non-coding RNA is filed under the name Hordeum vulgare. RNAcentral's name for it is "long non-coding RNA (HVUL_LNC010906)". Lineage: Eukaryota; Viridiplantae; Streptophyta; Magnoliopsida; Poales; Poaceae. The record is from RNAcentral.